RNAcentral lists this ribosomal RNA (475 nucleotides) under uncultured microorganism. RNAcentral describes it as "bacterial SSU rRNA". It matches the Rfam family "Bacterial small subunit ribosomal RNA", at positions 9 to 477 of the family's 1533-position model. The record is from RNAcentral.
GAGUUUGAUCGUGGCUCAGAUUGAACGCUGGCGGUAUGCUUAACACAUGCAAGUCGAACGGUAACAGGAGAGAGCUUGCUCUUUUGCUGACGAGUGGCGGACGGGUGAGUAAUGCGUAGGAAUCUGCCUAGUAGUGGGGGACAACGUGUGGAAACGCACGCUAAUACCGCAUACGCCCUACGGGGGAAAGCGGGGAUCUUCGGACCUCGCGCUAUUAGAUGAGCCUACGUUAGAUUAGCUAGUUGGUGGGGUAAAGGCCUACCAAGGCGACGAUCUAUAGCUGGUCUGAGAGGAUGAUCAGCCACACUGGGACUGAGACACGGCCCAGACUCCUACGGGAGGCAGCAGUGGGGAAUAUUGGACAAUGGGCGAAAGCCUGAUCCAGCAAUACCGCGUGUGUGAAGAAGGCCUGAGGGUUGUAAAAGCACUUUUCAAUUGUGAAGAAAUAUUUAACGGUUAAUAAACCUUAAAUUUU